CUGGAUAAACUGUGUCACAGAGGAGAGAGCCGCUCGUCGGCGGCGGCGAAGAGGGACAGAGCGAUCGGAUCAUCGGACAGAAAAACAGAGAGAUGCUCGCCGGCGGAGAGAUACACAUAAAUUAAAACCGUGAGGGAUAAUAGAAAGAGAGGGGGAGGGAGACUGGAUAAACUGUGUCACAGAGGAGAGAGCCGCUCCUCGGCGGCGUAGAGGGACAGAGCGAUCGGAUCAUCGGACAGAAAAACAGAGAGAUGCUCGCCGGCGGAGAGAAGAGAGAGAUCGGAUGCGGAGACUGGUCGACGGCUUCCCCGCCGGCGACGAUUGUAUUGUAUCUCGAUCUAUGGUAACUUAGUGUGAAGCCAAUAAAAGCCAGCUGGAGAGCACUGAAGGCUUAGAAAAGUGGCAAUAAAAGUUACCUAAUUAAAAUGAGAAUUGUUUUCAAUAAUUGGGGUCAUUCCCUAUAGAUGUAUCAAAAUGAAAAUCGGGUUUUGUCCCACUUAUAAAUGUAUUACCAGAAAAACUUGGGUUUUAUCCC
This 535-nucleotide long non-coding RNA is filed under the name Helianthus annuus (common sunflower). RNAcentral describes it as "hypothetical non coding rna". The record is from RNAcentral. Lineage: Eukaryota; Viridiplantae; Streptophyta; Magnoliopsida; Asterales; Asteraceae.